RNAcentral lists this ribosomal RNA (468 nucleotides) under uncultured bacterium. RNAcentral's name for it is "partial 16S ribosomal RNA". It matches the Rfam family "Bacterial small subunit ribosomal RNA", at positions 28 to 507 of the family's 1533-position model. The record is from RNAcentral.
GACGAACGCUGGCGGCGUGCUUAACACAUGCAAGUCGAACGGAAAGGCCCUGCUUUUGUGGGGUGCUCGAGUGGCGAACGGGUGAGUAACACGUGAGUAACCUGCCCUUGACUUUGGGAUAACUUCAGGAAACUGGGGCUAAUACCGGAUAGGAGCUCCUGCUGCAUGGUGGGGGUUGGACAGUUUCGGCGGUUGGGGAUGGACUCGCGGCUUAUCAGCUUGUUGGUGGGGUAGUGGCUUACCAAGGCUUUGACGGGUAGCCGGCCUGAGAGGGUGACCGGCCACAGUGGGACUGAGAUACGGCCCAGACUCCUACGGGAGGCAGCAGUGGGGAAUAUUGCACAAUGGGCGGAAGCCUGAUGCAGCAACGCCGCGUGCGGGAUGACGGCCUUCGGGUUGUAAACCGCUUUCGCCUGUGACGAAGCGUGAGUGACGGUAAUGGGUAAAGAAGCACCGGCUAACUACGUG